AUCUCUCUGGACAAUCAAUUCGCUGAUAACAGUUGGCGACCCAGACUAUUUUCAGCAGGCAUAAAUACCAUAAACUGUUCAUUGUACCAUUAUUGGAUUUUUAAGCCAGAGCGAUGAUAACCCAUUUUAACUCUACAAGUUGGCCACAAAACCACGCUGAUGCAGAAACAUAUUAACGAUCUUAUAUAAAAGGUUGCGGAAUAUGUUGAUCUACAGCUGUUGGUAAGUGAAUAAGAACCUUGCGAUAAAAUCUACCGAAAAGCUCUUCUCUAAUAUUUGGUUAAAGUUGCCAUUCAUCUCAAUGCUUCUACUGCUGUUCACGGACUAUUUGUACUUCCGGUUUGAGUUGAGUUAAAUUUUUCGUCAAUCCAGAAUCCAUUGGGAAGUGACAAUCGAUUGAAAAUUACAAACGUGUGAAGGGAAAACUCCACCAAGGAUCAAUAGGACUAUAAAUAAUGCAUCCACGUCGUUUUGUGAUGUUUUUCGGUUUAUUAUUGAGAUAAACAUAAACAACUUAACGAUGUAGUAAUGUGCACUUUGUUACUUGGUUAAUGACACGAUUGUGACUACAAGACUCCUCCUGUUCGCGGUCGGAAGCAGAUGCUGGCGAUGGUCUGAGGGUGUGUUUACCUGAAACAGAUGAAGUGUUCCUGACAAAAUGAUUUCUCGAAAAACAUUUGAAGUUGAAAUUGACAUGUUAAUUUGGCUCUGUAUUGUAUUUGCAUCGUCUGCUAAUAACAUCAUCACUGGAUCGGGCGUUGUUCAAAAUGGCGCCCCGUUUCUAGAAGUGAACUUCGCUAAUGAAACAAAUAUUACGUUUGUGACUAUUCCAACUACAAGAAUUCCUGAGCACCAGAAACUUCAAGUUGUGUGGAAAAAUAGCUCAACCACCAGCAUAGCUAUUUCUUGGAAAUUCAUCCUCGACCCUUCCAUCAGAAAUGAUACUUUUGACGGCUCAAUAGUCGAGUGUUUCUAUAAAAAUGGGAAAUUUAUUUCUGAUAUGCUUCCCCCUUGGGUCAACACUUAUGUGUUUCAUCGUUUGGAAGUUGACACCAGCUAUACGAUAUGCAUCAACGCCUACGAAAGGAAAACCUCAGGGACAAUUAUCUAUCCCACGAUGCAGUAUUCAAAAUGUGUGAUUCUGUCUACAAUCCCCUACGUCAGACGCGACAGUGUUGUUGUAUUGUUAUGCACAAUGUCUUAUUUCUUGUUCUUGAGCCUUCUUGGAGUUUCACAAUGGAAACAUAAAGUGCGCGAAAUUAAAGAACGACGUCAGAGGUACGUCAUCGAAGAUGAUAACCCGGAUGAAUCCAUGCAACCAAUCCAUAGGCAAGAAAACGGGAAAAGGCUCCGAAGCAAUAAACCACAUUCAGCAAUAGAAGAGACGGCGUAUCGGUGAUUGAUUCAUUCUGUUAGGCAGCGCCAUUAACUAGAUUUAUGUCGUAAUUAAUAGAUAUAGAUAAUUAAUUAAAUGAUAAUCAAAGUUGCCACGGGAUCAUGCCGCUCUAAUGACGGGCUGUCGGUAAUUUUUGUUAUUAAUUGUCAUAUGCACGUAUCAUAUUUUUAUACAUUUCAACAGUUGUUAUUAAAUAGUUAGAAUGCUUGAA
Magallana angulata is the source of this 1607-nucleotide long non-coding RNA. RefSeq lists it as uncharacterized. The record is from RefSeq and is a predicted model, not a curated record. The transcript is spliced from 2 exons. NCBI's taxonomy places the organism in Eukaryota, Metazoa, Mollusca, Bivalvia, Ostreida, Ostreidae.